This 253-nucleotide ribosomal RNA is filed under the name uncultured bacterium. RNAcentral describes it as "partial 16S ribosomal RNA". It matches the Rfam family "Bacterial small subunit ribosomal RNA", at positions 524 to 776 of the family's 1533-position model. The record is from RNAcentral.
UACGCAGGUGGCAAGCGUUGAUCGGAUUUACUGGGCGUACAGGGAGCGUAGGCGGUUGGGUAAGCCCUCCGUGAAAUCUCCGGGCCUUACCCGGAAAGUGCGGAGGGGACUGCUCGGCUAGAGGAUGGGAGAGGAGCGCGGAAUUCCCGGUGUAGCGGUGAAAUGCGUAGAGAUCGGGAGGAAGGCAGGUGGCGAAGGCGGCGCUCUGGAACAUUUCUGACGCUGAGGCUCGAAAGCGUGGGGAGCAAACAGG